Long non-coding RNA from Hippocampus comes (tiger tail seahorse), 256 nucleotides. RefSeq lists it as uncharacterized. The record is from RefSeq and is a predicted model, not a curated record. NCBI's taxonomy places the organism in Eukaryota, Metazoa, Chordata, Actinopteri, Syngnathiformes, Syngnathidae. The transcript has 2 exons.
UAAAAGCACCGGGGAUCUGUUUUGUUUUUUGACAGAUGGCGUUUAUUCUCACUGGGCAUCAUCUGACAUUAGAAUAGCUACAGAGACGGCCAUUUGGAAGGUGGCUUCUACAAUUCCAAAAGGAGAGGGAAGGUCCGGAAUUAUGUCAAACAGGGACCGAAACUGACUGUUAACAACAAUAAGAAUCUAAGCGUGAAUUAAUGAAAUCACAUCAGGAAGGGUUCCAAUCGGUGGUCCCAAAAAAAAAAAAAAAAAA